CUACGGAGGGUGCAAGCGUUACUCGGAAUCACUGGGCGUAAAGGACGCGUAGGCGGAUUGGAAAGUCAGAUGUGAAAUCCUACAGCUUAACUGUAGAACUGCAUUUGAAACUUCUAAUCUAGAGUAUGGGAGGGGGAGAUGGAAUUAGUGGUGUAGGGGUAAAAUCCGUAGAUAUCACUAGGAAUACCGAAAGCGAAGGCGAUCUCCUGGAACAUAACUGACGCUAAGGCGUGAAAGCGUGGGGAGCAAACGGGAUUAGAUACCCUAGUAGUCC
RNAcentral lists this ribosomal RNA (274 nucleotides) under uncultured bacterium. Its description in RNAcentral is "partial 16S ribosomal RNA". It matches the Rfam family "Bacterial small subunit ribosomal RNA", at positions 523 to 796 of the family's 1533-position model. The record is from RNAcentral.